AUUAUCUCUCCGUACCACCCCCUAAAAAUGUUUGCUGCCCCAAAACUUCAAUACUAUUUUAUGUUAUUUUUCCUAUUGAUAUAAGGCAGCCUCCUCCUCCCAGGCUCUGGUGAUCCUCCCAUCUCAGCCCCCUAAGUAGCUAGGACUAUAGGCAUGCUCUACCAUGCCUGGCUAAUUUUUUGCAUAAUUUUUUUUUUGUAGAGACAGAGUUUUGCCAUGUUGCCCAGGAUGCAAAAUAUUUUAGAAUGACUCGCAUUUAUGAGUGGAUACAGGUUUCCCCUCUCUCUUUGGAUAUUUACCUGACAAGCCCCUGGUAGUCCUGAGUGGCUUCCCGUCCUGAUUUAUAAUCUCGAAUGAUCUAAGAAACCUCAAGCGUCUUAGGGGGAGUGGGAUCAAAGUGCCCCUUCCCACUUUUUGUGAGGGUUAAAUGAGAUAAUACAUGCAGUGUGCUGAGCUCAAGGCCCACUCCUGGUGUAUACUCAGUCAAUGAAAGUCAUUGAUAAACACUUUAGAAAACAUAAGCAUCACAUAAGGAUGAUUAAAUGACUGUUUUGUGUUUUCCUCCAGGAGCUGGGCAUAGAUGCCGUGAGCUUUGGUGUUUGUGGAUCUGUUAGAGAAACUCUUGUGUGAUUCAGGGAUUGACUUACACAGGUACUGUAGGCUGCAGUCAGAGGUGGUUCAUCUCAGAAUAUCCCUCUCUCCAGGGAAGAGGCCUCCCAUGUGAGUGACUUAGAGGUUUCCCAGUAG
This 747-nucleotide long non-coding RNA is filed under the name Homo sapiens (human). RNAcentral's name for it is "non-protein coding lnc-SIRPG-4:1". The record is from RNAcentral. Lineage: Eukaryota; Metazoa; Chordata; Mammalia; Primates; Hominidae.